Molecule: transfer RNA, 74 nt
Filed under: Bacillota bacterium
Lineage: Bacteria; Bacillati; Bacillota
Description: tRNA-Gln
Rfam family: tRNA
About the family: Transfer RNA (tRNA) molecules are approximately 80 nucleotides in length. Their secondary structure includes four short double-helical elements and three loops (D, anti-codon, and T loops).
Source: RNAcentral
UGCCGGGUCGUCUAAUGGUAGGACAGCAGACUCUGGAUCUGUUUGUGAGGGUUCAAAUCCUUCCCCGGCAGCCA